CUUUGGGUUGUAAACUGCUUUUAUAUAGGAAGAACUGUAGAGACUUGUCUUUAUUUGACGGUACUAUAUGAAUAAGGACCGGCUAACUACGUGCCAGCAGCCGCGGUAAUACGUAGGGUCCGAGCGUUAUCCGGAAUUAUUGGGUUUAAAGGGUCCGUAGGCGGGCCUAUAAGUCAGAGGUGAAAUCUUGCAGCUUAACUGUAAAAUUGCCUUUGAUACUGUAGGUCUUGAGUGUGAAUGAAGUGGGCGGAAUGAGAUGUGUAGCGGUGAAAUGCUUAGAUAUGUCUCAGAACACCGAUUGCGAAGGCAGCUCACUAAGCCACAACUGACGCUGAGGGACGAAAGCGUGGGUAGCGAACAGGAUUAGAUACCCUGGUAGUCCACGCUGUAAACGAUGUUCACUAGACGUCGGGGGUUAGGCCUCCGGUGUCGCAGCUAACGCAUUAAGUGAACCGCCUGGGGAGUACGGCCGCAAGGUUAAAACUCAAAGGAAUUGACGGGGGCUCACACAAGCGGUGGAGGAUGUGGCUUAAUUCGAGGCAACGCGAAGAACCUUAUCCCGGACUUGACAUCUAUGGAUUAGCAUUGUGAAAGCAGUGUGACGCCUUCGGGUGGAACAUAGACAGGUGCUGCAUGGCUGUCGUCAGCUCGUGCCG
This 656-nucleotide ribosomal RNA is filed under the name Schmidingerella taraikaensis. Its description in RNAcentral is "partial Bacterial small subunit ribosomal RNA". It matches the Rfam family "Bacterial small subunit ribosomal RNA", at positions 416 to 1067 of the family's 1533-position model. The record is from RNAcentral. Lineage: Eukaryota; Ciliophora; Spirotrichea; Tintinnida; Rhabdonellidae.